GUCCUUUAGAGAAUAAUUUAAGGUCUAACCUGCCCACUGAUAAAUUAAAUGGCCGCAGUAAUUUGACUGUGCAAAGGUAGCAUAAUCAUUAGUUUUUUAAUUAAAAGCUUGUAUGAAUGGUUGGACGAGAUAAAAUCUGUCUCUUAAUUAGGAUUAGAAAUUAAUUUUUAAGUUAAAAAGCUUAAAUGAUUAUAAAAGACGAGAAGACCCUAUAGAUUUUUAUUUAAUUAAUAUAUAAAAUAUAAAGAUUAGUUUAUUUUAUAUAAAAUUUUAAAUUUUAUUGGGGUAAUAUAAAGAUUAAAUUAAUUCUUUAAUAUUUUUACAUAAAUUAAUGGUUUUAUGAUCCAUGAUAAUGAUUAAAAGAUUAAGUUACCUUAGGGAUAACAGCGUAAUUUUUUUUGAGAGUUCUUAUCGAUAAAAAAGCUUGCGACCUCGAUGUUGGAUUAAAAUUUAUUUUAAAUGCAGAAGUUUAAAAUAUUAGUCUGUUCGACUAUUAAAUUUUU
This 503-nucleotide ribosomal RNA is filed under the name Microdytes sp. BMNH 681299. RNAcentral describes it as "partial 16S ribosomal RNA". It matches the Rfam family "Bacterial large subunit ribosomal RNA", at positions 1828 to 2597 of the family's 2925-position model. Lineage: Eukaryota; Metazoa; Arthropoda; Insecta; Coleoptera; Dytiscidae. RNAcentral also lists the same sequence under 1 other name. The record is from RNAcentral.